UGGGGAGUGGUGUAACUGGCAACACAGCAGAUUCUGGUUCUGUUAUUCAGGGUUCGAUUCCUUGCUCCCCAGCCA
This 75-nucleotide transfer RNA is filed under the name Actinomycetes bacterium. RNAcentral's name for it is "tRNA-Gln". It matches the Rfam family "tRNA". From Rfam's summary of the family: Transfer RNA (tRNA) molecules are approximately 80 nucleotides in length. Their secondary structure includes four short double-helical elements and three loops (D, anti-codon, and T loops). Lineage: Bacteria; Bacillati; Actinomycetota; Actinomycetes. The record is from RNAcentral. RNAcentral also lists the same sequence under 7 other names.